AUCACUUUACCAUUUUUCAUGUGU
Molecule: non-coding RNA, 24 nt
Filed under: Arabidopsis thaliana (thale cress)
Lineage: Eukaryota; Viridiplantae; Streptophyta; Magnoliopsida; Brassicales; Brassicaceae
Source: RNAcentral